GAGAUAGGAGCUGUUAUUGAAUUAUUAAUUUUUUUCUUUAAACAACGAUUUUUUGCUUUUUAAAAAUUCAUUCCUUCUAAGAGUUAUUCAUCCAAAAAAAAAAAAUUCGGGGGAAAAGUCUAACAAUUUUUCCCUUUAUUCCCUCCAUUCAUAAUUUGGGGUAUUAAUUUUGUUCUAGGUUUCAACUCCAAAUUUUUAAACUUAUAUUGAACCUGAUACACAAUUCAAUAUGGCAUUAAGUAAGAUACUACUUCUGAAUUCAACCUAAUAAAUCAGUGAUACACCUGUUGAAAAAAAAAAAUGAACCUGAAAGGUUAAUUGUAUAAAAACAGGUGGGACUGAGUAAAAUACCAGAUAUAUGUUUUAUUUAAUACAACAAAAGUUAUAAUGGAAAUGAUAAGAUAAAGAGCAAUACAAAUCAAGAAAAGACAAAAUUCCCAAAGGGGAAUAAUAUUGACUAAAGCUUCUUAAUUAGAACAGCUACAAAAAGUUGUUUUAUUGUUUUCAAAAUUUUACAUGCAUGAAUCUAUACACAACAAUAUAUAUCCUCAAAAAGAUUUUACAGCACCUUGAGAAAUACUUAAAUAACAUCUGCCCAACGUGAAAGUGACCAACUGAUCCCUCCUCUCCAUUUCCCCCAAGCUACCUUCUAUUUGUUUAAUGUAAUCGGGCUUUAUAGCGUAUAGUUCUACAAAAGCUUUGCAGCAGAAAAAAGCUCACGGAGAAAGUAGUUGACCGAGAAAGUCUGUCUAGUCUCCCCGCCCCCCAAAAAAGGAAAACAAAAAACAGAACCAAACCCAGACCCUCGGCCUUAAGGGCUGCCUGGAAAUUUCUGAUUCGUGUUUUUCCAUUGCUUAACAUUUCAAAAGAAUAUUUCAGAAUUUUAUUUCGCCUCUUUUCUGUACAACUCCAUCCUGUGCUAGAAUGGAUCACUCUACGAAAGGGAGUUUUUAAGCUGUCUUUUUUUAUUUUUUGCCUUUUAGCAUAAGGUAACCAAUUCGUUUUUAUUCUAACUAAGCCCGGAUCGCUACUGCAAUUCGUCUUAAAAAGAAACAAAAAUACAAACAGGGAAGGCGUACCCACAAAACAUGCCUGCCCGUGACUUUGUUCGAAUGCAUUCAGAGAAAUAUACAUUACACGAACUCUCAUUCGUGCUUUCCUCUAAUUAAAAAAAAAAAGUUUCAGUAGUUUAUUCUGGCAAGUUUCUUAGCUGUUCCUUUCUUUCCUUACAAUCCAGGCGGUAGGAAGCAGAACGCGCCCGCGUUGUUGUUGCCGCCGCCGCCUCCUUUUCCUAGCCCGGGUUUAGACUUCUCUCUAAUCUCGCGCUUCCCUUUCCCUCCGCCCCCCUCUUCCUCCUCCACCCCCGCCCCUCCACACCACCUGCUACUCUCCUCUCCCUCCUUUUUCCCCGCCUGAGUUCUCACGCCCAUCCGAGGUCCUUCCCCACCCUCUUCUUUUCUUCUCACCCUCCUACAGGCUGCCUCUAACCCCUUCGAUCCUGGGUCUGAUUUCCCCUAAGUCCCAUCGUCUGCGUUCCCUUUUCCUCCUAUGCAGCUACUCUUCUUUGGCCGUUCUCUCCGCCGAGGUCUCGUCUGGUCUCGUCCGGGCCCGGCCCGAUCAGGCUGGGCUGGGCUGGGCUGGGCUGGGCUGGGCUGGGCAGGGCGGCGCAGGGCAGGGCACGGCUGGCCUCCUCCUCUCUCCUCCCCACCCCACACGAAGUUCUCUUUCCUCUCGAUUGCUCUCCAGGGGGAUUACUUUUAAUAGCGAGUCUUCGGCCGGCGAGUUCUGAUUGGAUGUUUUACGCAAAGGCUCCGCCCGUUCCGUGGUACGCGCAAAAGAGGGUGGGGAGGGGAAGAAGCGGAGAAGGGCGCGCGCGCGCGCGCGCGCUCCCGCAGCCCGGAGGCAGAGAGCCGCGGUUGCUUGGGUUUCUGGUUCGGGUGUCGCUGGUUCCCCCUGGUCUCCGAGAAGGUGACUCCGAGGGAGAAUUCUGGGCUGCUUAGGUGUUCCUCUUUCUUCCCAUGCCCGCUUCUCUCGAGGCUGGUAUCCCGGGUGCCGCGGGGCAGCCCCGAGGAAGGACAGGUUUGAUUUACAGCCUCCUCCAGGCGGCCCCGAGGCCAAUGCCGUGUGGGCAAUGUCUCCUCCCGCCCUCACGCGGCCCGCCCGCCCUGAUAGCCCGGAUGUCACUGCCCCCUGUGGCCGGGCUGCGGACUCGAUUAUCAGCCCCAGUGAGGAUCCUUUUAAAGAGACCGCUGCCUUUGCGUACCACGCGGGGCUCGCUCCUCGGUCUUCCUGGCGCGGAGCGGGGAGGACCCAGAGCCGAGCCAGCGCGUGUCUGCGGUCCGAGGGGCCAGCUGGGAGCCGCCGAGUUUUCUUCCUUCCCCGGGCGGGCCCCCGGCUCAGGGAAAAACGGCCAGUCCGACGGCCCGAGCGGCGGCCUGGGAUUGGCCGAGAGCCGCGGGAAUGCCGGACAUUUCGGUCUCGGUCGCUUGCCCGGCCAGUCCGGGCUCCGAAAUAAUCCUGGAGCAAGAUGGACGAAGAGCAGAUAGCCCUAGGGGAACUUGGCCGAGAUGUGCGUGCGCGUUUUGGUGUGAGUGCGCGCGUGUGUACUUGCAUAUGGGGUCAAGUAUUGAUCGGUAAACUGGGCUCAUCGGCCCGACUGACCCCUCCUGGAAGACCGAUAACAGUCAGUAUUAAGAAAAAAAUAACAGAAAAUAAAAAGGCAUUCUUCAUAAACUAGUGACUUAUAAAUAUUCCAACCAGAUAGUAACUGUUUAUUAAGCAUGCCAGGAAAGUUAGAAGGGAGUUCUCGCUCUCAAGUAGCUUUUUCUACAUUCAAAAGAUUCGGAGGUUGGCGUGUUUGGUUUUGUUUCAAGACCAGCUCGUGAAGGGGAAAGUUUUCGCCCACAAAAUACCCAUUUUGAAACUUUUACUGAGGGUGGUUCCUUGGGGAAAUUUUGGACCAGAUUAAGAGGCUUCUGAGUAAGCCAUUUUAAUAAUAAAAGGUUGACUCUUAAGAACUGAAGAGACUUUGAAAGGCUUAACACCAUAAUCUGAGCCCCCAAGAAUGGUUUUAACUAAAAAUAUUUAAGUAUUUAAAGUUUGCAAUUGAGAGUGUAAACUCCUGGAGGGUAGGAACUCUCCUUUAAAUUCUGAAUUAUAUUGUCACCUUGCUGAUUACCUUUUUUCAUCAUAAUUUUUUACUGCGAUUUGUAUUUAACUUUACUGAAGUACAAAAUUUUAAUAGCUUAAAAAAACUAUCCUAGAUAAAACUAAAUUGUCAAGAA
This is a long non-coding RNA of Sarcophilus harrisii (Tasmanian devil), 3284 nucleotides long. NCBI's taxonomy places the organism in Eukaryota, Metazoa, Chordata, Mammalia, Dasyuromorphia, Dasyuridae. The record is from Ensembl.